RNAcentral lists this ribosomal RNA (505 nucleotides) under uncultured bacterium. RNAcentral's name for it is "bacterial SSU rRNA". It matches the Rfam family "Bacterial small subunit ribosomal RNA", at positions 8 to 532 of the family's 1533-position model. The record is from RNAcentral.
AGAGUUUGAUCAUGGCUCAGAGUGAACGCUGGCGGCGUGCUUAACACAUGCAAGUCGAACGGAUAAAAUAAGCUUGCUUAUUUUGUUAGUGGCGCACGGGUGAGUAAUAUAUAGCUAACCUGCCCUUUAGUGGGGGACAACAGUUGGAAACGACUGCUAAUACCCCAUACUCCUUCUUGUCUUAAGAUAAGUUGGGAAAGAUUUAUCGCUAAAGGAUGGGGCUUUAUUGUAUCAGCUAGUUGGUGGGGUAACGGCCUACCAAGGCAAUGACGCAUACCUGGUCUGAGAGGAUGAUCAGGCACACUGGAACUGAGACACGGUCCAGACUCCUACGGGAGGCAGCAGUGGGGAAUAUUGCACAAUGGAGGAAACUCUGAUGCAGCAACGCCGCGUGGAGGAUGACGCAUUUCGGUGUGUAAACUCCUUUUAUAGGGGAAGAUAAUGACGGUACCCUAUGAAUAAGCACCGGCUAACUUCGUGCCAGCAGCCGCGGUAAUACGAAGGG